Non-coding RNA from Mesocricetus auratus (golden hamster), 507 nucleotides. The record is from the annotation of a RefSeq genome assembly. Lineage: Eukaryota; Metazoa; Chordata; Mammalia; Rodentia; Cricetidae.
UGAGAGAAACAUCGCAGAAAUCAAUGGUAGCCUCAAGGCUAGCAGAAAACUGGCUGAGGCAAGGGUUUUGCUAUGAUAUGGACAUGGUCACCAGUCUCCUAAGCUGUGUGGUCUUUUAUCUCCUAGGAACAGGCUCCGUGGAGGCCCAAGUCACCCAGACUCCAAGACACAUCAUCACAGAGCCUGGGAAGAAAUUGAUAAUUACUUGCUCUCAGAAUAUGAAUCAUGACUCUAUGUACUGGUAUAGACAAGACUUAGGUCUGGGCCUAAAGCUUAUUUAUUACUCAGUUAAUAUUGACAUUACUGAUAAGGGAGAGGUCUCUGAUGGGUACAGUGUAUCUCGAAAAGAAAAAAAAGCCUUUCCUCUGACACUGGAAUCUACCAGAAUCAACCAGACCUCCCUGUACCUCUGUGCCAGCAGCGAACACAGCCCUGCAUAGCCAGCUGCUCCCUGCACAAAAAAAGGACAGCCACAUGGGCAAGAAGCCUCUUCCCUCAGGAGGUCCC